AUAAUACUCCCUCAGUCCGGAAAUACUUGUCGGAGAAAUGGAUGUAUCUAGACGUAUUUUAAUUCUAAAUACAUCCAUUUUGAUCCAUUUUCGCGACAAGUAAUUCUGGACGGAGGGGGUAUUAA
Triticum aestivum (bread wheat) is the source of this 125-nucleotide non-coding RNA. The record is from Rfam. Lineage: Eukaryota; Viridiplantae; Streptophyta; Magnoliopsida; Poales; Poaceae.